RNAcentral lists this ribosomal RNA (253 nucleotides) under uncultured bacterium. RNAcentral's name for it is "partial 16S ribosomal RNA". It matches the Rfam family "Bacterial small subunit ribosomal RNA", at positions 524 to 776 of the family's 1533-position model. The record is from RNAcentral.
UACGGAGGGUGCAAGCGUUAUCCGGAUUCACUGGGUUUAAAGGGGGCGUAGGUGGGCAGGUAAGUCAGUGGUGAAAUCUCCGGGCUUAACUCGGAAACUGCCAUUGAUACUAUCUGUCUUGAAUACCGUGGAGGUUAGCGGAAUAUGUCAUGUAGCGGUGAAAUGCUUAGAUAUGACAUAGAACACCAAUUGCGAAGGCAGCUGGCUACACGAAUAUUGACACUGAUGCACGAAAGCGUGGGGAUCAAACAGG